This 1929-nucleotide unclassified non-coding RNA is filed under the name Anthonomus grandis grandis. RNAcentral's name for it is "uncharacterized LOC126737174". Lineage: Eukaryota; Metazoa; Arthropoda; Insecta; Coleoptera; Curculionidae. The record is from RNAcentral.
CGCGCUUCACAUACGAGAUAACAUAUAUGAGUACGCAAAAUUGAACGAUAACUGGGUUCGCAAAGUAGCCACCUGAGCGGUGUUGGUCAGAAGUGUACCUCGCUCUGAUUGGUCACUCUGCACGGUGUUUUUAUUUACACUGGCGUCAAUUUGACGUUUUCAAAAAGAUAGAAUCAGGAUCAUUUCAAAGAUAUUGUCAUAGAUAAAGACGCAAAUAUACGUAUGUAGACGUGGAUAUUGUCAGUAUAUGUCGUAAAGUAAUCGAUUCUGCUAGAAAUAUAAAAUACUUACCAGACACGAAGACAACUGUACUGUGUUCAUUACUUGAAAAUGUGAAAAAUGUAGGAAAUGGUAAAUCAGUAAUGUAUCCUGAUUCCAAUAUUGCCACAAAAACUCGUUUGGGUAGAACAAAAGCAAGUAUGAUUGCUUUUAAUGUCCUGGCCCCUUUUUCAGUAGAAAGUCCAUUAUGUGAGCUUAGCAAAGGAGUUUUUUUGGAAUUUUGGAAUUUUUUUGGAAUAUCCACAGAUGCCUCUAAUCAUAGAAGUGCUAAGCUUUUCCCAAUACUUUUAAGGUAUUAUGUUCCAUCAGAAGGAGUAAAAUUAUUUCUUCUUGAUUAUUUCGAAGAUCCCGACGAGAGUGCAAAUGGUAUUUACACUAACUUAAAAACUAGAAUUCAACAUGCUGGCCUUUUAUUAAACUACAUAUCAUGCUAUUCGGCUGAUAAUGCAAAUGUUGAUUUUGGACGCUUGCAUUCUGUGUACCAAUUAUUAUAUAAGGAGAAUAAUAAAGUUCUUGCAGUGGGUUGUCCUGCGCAUAUGGUAAACAAUUCUGUAAAAAAUGCUUUAGCAAAAUGCCGUUUUGAUGUAGAAACUUUGAUUUUAAAAACUUUUAAUCAAUUUUCAUCUCAAGCAAAAAGGUGCAAAGAGUUAAAAGAUUUUUUUAAUUUCGUGGAUUUGGAAUAUAAAACUAUUUUAAGCCAUGUACCGACUCGUUGGCUAAGCUUAUUUCCAGCCAUAGAAAGAUUGCUGAACAUUUUUCCAGCCAUUAAGAGCUACUUUCUUUCCCAGGAAGAAACAAUUCCUAUUGCACUAUAAGAUUUUUUCUCUGAAGACAAUUUUGUAGUACAGAAAACUGAAUGUUAUCUAUGUUUUUUCACAACUCACUAAAAAUUGUUUUUGACACAGAACAAAAACUUGAAAAAGCCGAUUUACUUUGUUUCGAAAUUUCUUUGGCUUUCUAGCGUCAAAUCUUUUAAAAAUUUUUGCACGAAAUGAACAAACUCAAAUAAGAGAAUCCUGUUUAGAAUUUUAUAAAAAUAUUGCUGCUUAUCUAGAUUCAAAAUAUGAAUUUUCAGAAAAUAAUUUGUUUUCAAAAUUAAAUAUUUUUUCUUUAAAAACUUUAUUUAAUUUUGAUUAACUUAUGGAAGUUGUAAACAACUUACCAAUCGACAUAAAUUUUGAUAAUCUGUAUGAAGAAUUUUGUAUAGUCAAAACUACCCUUGACAAAGCUUUCACUUUAUCUGAGGAGACUAAUAUUAUCCAGAAAUGGAAUAACAUAUUCAUAGGUAAUCCGGAACUUAUUAAUUUUUUUAAAAUAAUACAAUUUGUUUUUUCCAUAUACGGGUCAAAUGCUGACUCUGAAAGAUUUUUUUCUUUAUGUAAUGCAGCCUGGAGCGACAGCCGCAAUAAACUCCUGGUUGAUCACGUAAAAGCAGAGUUUCAGAUUAAAACUAAUUUUAAUUUAAAAAGCAAAGAAUUUUAUAAUAUGGCUAUUAAAAAUAAAAGGCUCUUGCAGGUAGUCAAAUCUAACCAAAAAUAUUCUUUUUCAUCCAAAUAAUUUUUUUUAAAGCAUUUUAAAACAUUUAUCAUUUAUGUAUUAUAAAGUAAGAAAUAUACGAGUAUCCUGUUUUAAUUUGGUACCAUAAUUUAA